GAUGAACGCUGGCGGCGUGCUUAACACAUGCAAGUCGAACGGAAAGGCUCCUGCUUGCAGGGGUACUCGAGUGGCGAACGGGUGAGUAACACGUGGGUGAUCUGCCCUGCACUUCGGGAUAAGCCUGGGAAACUGGGUCUAAUACCGGAUAGGACGAUGGUUUGUAUGCCAUUGUGGAAAGUUUUUCGGUGUGGGAUGAGCUCGCGGCCUAUCAGCUUGUUGGUGGGGUAAUGGCCUACCAAGGCGUCGACGGGUAGCCGGCCUGAGAGGGUGUACGGCCACAUUGGGACUGAGAUACGGCCCAGACUCCUACGGGAGGCAGCAGUGGGGAAUAUUGCACAAUGGGCGCAAGCCUGAUGCAGCGACGCCGCGUGGGGGAUGACGGCCUUCGGGUUGUAAACUCCUUUCGCUAGGGACGAAGCGCAAGUGACGGUACCUGGAGAAGAAGCACCGGCUAACUACGUG
This 465-nucleotide ribosomal RNA is filed under the name uncultured bacterium. RNAcentral's name for it is "partial 16S ribosomal RNA". It matches the Rfam family "Bacterial small subunit ribosomal RNA", at positions 28 to 507 of the family's 1533-position model. The record is from RNAcentral.